Non-coding RNA from Clupea harengus (Atlantic herring), 76 nucleotides. The record is from Ensembl. Lineage: Eukaryota; Metazoa; Chordata; Actinopteri; Clupeiformes; Clupeidae.
UACUAAGGUGGCAGAGCUUGGCAAAUGCAGGAAGCCUAAGCCUUCCCUCCCAGAGGUUCAAAUCCUCUCCUUAGUU